CUGAGAUGAUGGCUUCACUCUCUCAGCUCAUGUCUUAGAGGGGGCUCAGUCAGACGAUUUUCAUCUGUACUUCAGCAGGAACAGGGGGAGUGAGUGAGAGAGAUUAUAUGCUUACCGCGUUCCCGCUCUCCAACCGAAGCUAACGUCAAAUCUCUUUUUAAAAAGGGGAGGGGGGAGAUGGUGAAAGGGACGAGGCGUGCGAGAUAACUCAGUGAGCACGUCUGAAUGGAUUACCCACUCUGCUAAUUAUGAACAGAAAACACUGUAAUUAUGCAUCAGAGUGGUUUUACUCUCCGUCCUCUCUCUCUCUGUUUUAAUUAUGCUUUGGAGUGGGAAGGGAAGUGGGCUCUCCAAUUGGCCUUUCCGGAGUAGCAAAAAAGCACAGAGCCACUGAGGCGGAAAGGGUCUCAGCCUCUGUGCACUUACUUGGACCAAGGUGGAAACCAAAUAAGUCGGGGCAGAAUGCGUACAGUGUUCACAGACAGCCAGACCAAACAACUGGAUCAGCUGUUCGAACAAACGAAUUACCCCGGCGUCGAGGGACGGGCUGACCUAGCCAGGGACACGGGCCUCACGGAGGAAAUUGUUAGGGUAUGGUUCAAAAACCGUCGUGCGCGCCGAAAGAGGCAGAAAAGCAGCACCAAGGCCGAAUCCCCAAACCUGGCUACUUCGAAAAGAGACUGGCCAACAGUCUACAACAAGCGCAGCUUCCAGGGAAACAGCUUCUCAUGAUUCCUCUGAUGAUAGCAAGAACAUAUGAUUUCUUUACACUAAUUUAUGUUCACUUGAGUUCAUAAGCUUUUAGGCCCAGUCAACACGCGUAAAUAUCCCCAGAUAGCAAUUCAUUGGUGGGCAUUUAAUGUAAAAACUAAAUUCAAUUGUUAGACCUGCAAUAAAUGCACAUUUGAGCAAUUACAGUAAGUGUCUGAGUGUAUUAUCUCUAAAGUUGUUUGAACAAAAGCAAGCAACAGCAAAUGUAGAAAA
Long non-coding RNA from Salvelinus fontinalis (brook trout), 984 nucleotides. RefSeq lists it as uncharacterized. The record is from RefSeq and is a predicted model, not a curated record. Lineage: Eukaryota; Metazoa; Chordata; Actinopteri; Salmoniformes; Salmonidae. The transcript has 3 exons.